This 548-nucleotide ribosomal RNA is filed under the name uncultured Glomeromycotina. Its description in RNAcentral is "SSU rRNA". It matches the Rfam family "Eukaryotic small subunit ribosomal RNA", at positions 548 to 1098 of the family's 1831-position model. The record is from RNAcentral. Lineage: Eukaryota; Fungi; Glomeromycota.
UUGGAGGGCAAGUCUGGUGCCAGCAGCCGCGGUAAUUCCAGCUCCAAUAGCGUAUAUUAAAGUUGCUGCAGUUAAAAAGCUCGUAGUUGAAUUUCGGGACCAUCAUGUCGGUCGUGCCUCGGUACGUACUGGUAUUGUUGGUUUCUCCCUUCUGACGAAUCAUGAUGUCAUUUAUUUGGUGUUGUGGGGAAUCAGGACUGUUACUUUGAAAAAAUUAGAGUGUUUAAAGCAGGCUCACGCUUGAAUACAUUAGCAUGGAAUAAUGAAAUAGGACGUUUGAUUCUAUUUUGUUGGUUUCUAGGAUCGACGUAAUGAUUAAUAGGGAUAGUUGGGGGCAUUAGUAUUCAAUUGUCAGAGGUGAAAUUCUUGGAUUUAUUGAAGACUAACUACUGCGAAAGCAUUUGCCAAGGAUGUUUUCAUUAAUCAAGAACGAAAGUUAGGGGAUCGAAGACGAUCAGAUACCGUCGUAGUCUUAACCAUAAACUAUGCCGACUAGGGAUCGGAUGAUGUUAAUUUUUUAAUGACUCAUUCGGCGCCUUACGGGAAAC